RNAcentral lists this long non-coding RNA (466 nucleotides) under Cricetulus griseus (Chinese hamster). RNAcentral describes it as "lncRNA (ENSCGRG00015028983.1)". The record is from RNAcentral. Lineage: Eukaryota; Metazoa; Chordata; Mammalia; Rodentia; Cricetidae.
GGGAAGUUCUCUGAAAAAUACUAGGUACCGGAAAACCUUCGGACUGUACCUGGUGGAGAACAAGCUUGGCGGGUGUAGCUGGGGUGAAGCAUGGCCACACAGCUUUUGGGGUCCGUCGCUAUGCGGUGGAGACACUUUGGCUGGGCUGGCUGGUCAAAGGUGAAGUCUCAUGGCCUGGCAACAACAUGGAAACUUCCUCCCUCUCCAGAAAAUCUUCCUGCUUCUACCUGCUGUUGUCUGGAGAAUGUCCUUGAGUCUGGAGGACAGACCUUAUCUGAAAGUUGUCUCUGACCCAGAUCCCUGAUUUAUCCUUAACUGGAAACCUGGCACGGAUUUCUGUUAGAAGACUUGUACUAGGAGCUCUGCUAUAGGUUUCUGAUAUCAGCCUACCACUUGUUGCAAAUGAAGUCUUGUCCUUAGGCUCCUCAGUCCUAUAUAUUCCUUAUGUUAUAGAAUAAAGUUGAGA